AUUGAACGCUGGCGGAAUGCUUUACACAUGCAAGUCGAACGGCAGCACGGGGGCAGCCCUGGUGGCGAGUGGCGAACGGGUGAGUAAUACAUCGGAACGUGCCCUGUCGUGGGGGAUAACUUAGCGAAAGUUACGCUAAUACCGCAUACGCUCUGAGGAUGAAAGCGGGGGACCUUCGGGCCUCGCGCGAUCGGAGCGGCCGAUGUCAGAUUAGGUAGUUGGUGGGGUAAAGGCCUACCAAGCCGACGAUCUGUAGCUGGUCUGAGAGGACGACCAGCCACACUGGGACUGAGACACGGCCCAGACUCCUACGGGAGGCAGCAGUGGGGAAUUUUGGACAAUGGGCGCAAGCCUGAUCCAGCCAUUCCGCGUGCAGGACGAAGGCCUUCGGGUUGUAAACUGCUUUUGUACGGAACGAAAAGGCUCUGGCUAAUACCUGGGGCUCAUGACGGUACCGUAAGAAUAAGCACCGGCUAACUACGUG
This 484-nucleotide ribosomal RNA is filed under the name uncultured bacterium. Its description in RNAcentral is "partial 16S ribosomal RNA". It matches the Rfam family "Bacterial small subunit ribosomal RNA", at positions 30 to 507 of the family's 1533-position model. The record is from RNAcentral.